Molecule: ribosomal RNA, 468 nt
Filed under: uncultured bacterium
Lineage: Bacteria
Description: partial 16S ribosomal RNA
Rfam family: Bacterial small subunit ribosomal RNA
Source: RNAcentral
GACGAACGCUGGCGGCGUGCUUAACACAUGCAGGUCGAACGGAAAGGCCCUGCUUUUGUGGGGUGCUCGAGUGGCGAACGGGUGAGUAACACGUGAGUAACCUGCCCUUGACUUUGGGAUAACUUCAGGAAACUGGGGCUAAUACCGGAUAGGAGCUCCUGCUGCAUGGUGGGGGUUGGAAAGUUUCGGCGGUUGGGGAUGGACUCGCGGCUUAUCAGCUUGUUGGUGGGGUAGUGGCUUACCAAGGCUUUGACGGGUAGCCGGCCUGAGAGGGUGACCGGCCACAUUGGGACUGAGAUACGGCACAGACUCCUACGGGAGGCAGCAGUGGGGAAUAUUGCACAAUGGGCGGAAGCCUGAUGCAGCAACGCCGCGUGCGGGAUGACGGCCUUCGGGUUGUAAACCGCUUUCGCCUGUGACGAAGCGUGAGUGACGGUAAUGGGUAAAGAAGCACCGGCUAACUACGUG